This 619-nucleotide ribosomal RNA is filed under the name uncultured bacterium. RNAcentral's name for it is "bacterial SSU rRNA". It matches the Rfam family "Bacterial small subunit ribosomal RNA", at positions 566 to 1185 of the family's 1533-position model. The record is from RNAcentral.
CGUUUGUAGGCGGCCCUGUAAGUCGGGUGUGAAAUCCCACGGCUCAACCGUGGAAGUGCAUUCGAAACUGCAGGGCUUGAAUAUGGAAGAGGGCAGUAGAAUUCCUGGUGUAGUGGUGAAAUACGUAGAUAUCAGGAGGAAUACCGGUGGCGAAGGCGGCUGCCUGGUCCAAUAUUGACGCUGAGAAACGAAAGCGUGGGGAUCAAACAGGAUUAGAUACCCUGGUAGUCCACGCCGUAAACGAUGGUCACUUGGUGUUGGAGGUAUUGACCCCUUCAGUGCCGAAGCUAACGCGUUAAGUGUCCCGCCUGGGAAGUACGGUCGCAAGAUUAAAACUCAAAGAAAUUGACGGGGGCCCGCACAAGCGGUGGAGCAUGUGGUUCAAUUCGAUGCAACGCGAAAAACCUUACCUGGGUUUGAAGUGCUGGUGAAUAAGGUAGAGAUAUCUUAGUCCUUCGGGACGCCAGUAUCAGGUGCUGCAUGGCUGUCGUCAGCUCGUGUCGUGAGAUGUCGGGUUAAGUCCCAUAACGAGCGCAACCCCUAUGUUUAGUUGCCAGCAUUAAGUUGGGCACUCUAAACAGACUGCCGGCGUUAAGCCGGAGGAAGGCGGGGAUGACGU